AACGAACGCUGGCGGCAGGCUUAACACAUGCAAGUCGAACGGAUCCUUCGGGAUUAGUGGCAGACGGGUGAGUAACGCGUGGGAACGUACCCUUUGCUACGGAAUAACUCAGGGAAACUUGAGCUAAUACCGCAUGUGCCCUACGGGGGAAAGAUUUAUCGGCAAAGGAUCGGCCCGCGUUGGAUUAGCUAGUUGGUGGGGUAAUGGCCUACCAAGGCGACGAUCCAUAGCUGGUCUGAGAGGAUGAUCAGCCACACUGGGACUGAGACACGGCCCAGACUCCUACGGGAGGCAGCAGUGGGGAAUAUUGGACAAUGGGCGCAAGCCUGAUCCAGCCAUGCCGCGUGAGUGAUGAAGGUCUUAGGAUUGUAAAGCUCUUUCACCGGUGAAGAUAAUGACGGUAGCCGGAGAAGAAGCCCCGGCUAACUUCGUG
Molecule: ribosomal RNA, 433 nt
Filed under: uncultured bacterium
Lineage: Bacteria
Description: partial 16S ribosomal RNA
Rfam family: Bacterial small subunit ribosomal RNA
Source: RNAcentral